UGUGUGUGUGUGUGUGUGUGUGUGUGUGUGUGUGUAGCUCUGUGGAUUAGACACUGUUUCCAAGUUGCAUGGGAGAUCUUUCUCUUGCUCCUUCCCCCUCUUUGGAAACCUGGAACUAAGUUACACACACACACACACACACACACACACACACC
This 155-nucleotide microRNA precursor is filed under the name Podarcis lilfordi (Lilford's wall lizard). Lineage: Eukaryota; Metazoa; Chordata; Lepidosauria; Squamata; Lacertidae. The record is from RNAcentral.